GUAGGGGGCGAGCGUUGUCCGGAUUUAUUGGGGCGCAAAGAGCUCGUAGGCGGUUGCGUAAGUCGGGAUGCGAAAACUCAGGGGCUCAACCCUGAGAUGCCAUUCGAUACUGCGCUGACUCGAGUCCGGUAGGGGAGCAUGGAAUUCCUGGUGUAGCGGUGAAAUGCGCAGAUAUCAGGAGGAACACCAGUGGCGAAGGCGGUGCUCUGGGCCGGUACUGACGCUGAGGAGCGAAAGCAUGGGUAGCAAACAGGAUUAGAUACCCUGGUAGUCCAUGCCGUAAACGUUGGGCACUAGGUGUGGGGCCUACUUAACGGGUUCCGUGCCGUAGCUAACGCAUUAAGUGCCCCGCCUGGGGAGUACGGCCGCAAAGGCUA
This 377-nucleotide ribosomal RNA is filed under the name uncultured organism. RNAcentral's name for it is "partial 16S ribosomal RNA". It matches the Rfam family "Bacterial small subunit ribosomal RNA", at positions 527 to 896 of the family's 1533-position model. The record is from RNAcentral.